GACGAACGUUGGCGGCGUGCCUAAUACAUGCAAGUCAACUGAAAUACCGGUAGCAAUACUGGUAUGGAGGUGGCGCACGGGUGAGUAACACGUAGGUAAUCUGCCUUCAGGUCUGACAUAACCCAUCGAAAGGUGAGCUAAUAUCAGAUGAUGCAGCGGCUUGACAUCAAGACAGUUGUUAAAGCUUCGGCGCCUGAAGAUGAGCCUGCGUCUGAUUAGCUAGUUGGCGGGGUAACGGCCCGCCAAGGCUGCGAUCAGUAGCUGGUCUGAGGAGGAUGAUCAGUCACACUGGAACUGAGACACGGUCCAGACUCCUACGGGAGGCAGCAGUAAGGAGUAUUGCUCAAUGGCCGAAAGGCUGAAGCAGCAACGCCGCGUGAGGGA
RNAcentral lists this ribosomal RNA (384 nucleotides) under uncultured bacterium. RNAcentral describes it as "bacterial SSU rRNA". It matches the Rfam family "Bacterial small subunit ribosomal RNA", at positions 28 to 408 of the family's 1533-position model. The record is from RNAcentral.